AGAGUUUGAUCAUGGCUCAGGAUGAACGCUGGCGGUAUGCCUAACACAUGCAAGUCGAACGAUGUCUUCGGACAUAGUGGCGGACGGGUGAGUAACGCGUGAGAAUCUGCCUCUAGGAUGGGGAUAACGGUUGGAAACGACCGCUAACACCCAAUAUGCCGUAAGGUGAAAAAUUUAUUGCCUGGAGAGGAGCUCGCGUCUGAUUAGCUAGUUGGUGGGGUAAGAGCUCACCAAGGCUUCGAUCAGUAGCUGGUCUGAGAGGAUGAGCAGCCACACUGGGACUGAGACACGGCCCAGACUCCUACGGGAGGCAGCAGUGGGGAAUUUUCCGCAAUGGGCGAAAGCCUGACGGAGCAAUACCGCGUGAGGGAGGAAUGCCUUUGGGUUGUAAACCUCUUUUCUCAGGGAAGAAGAUCUGACGGUACCUGAGGAAUAAGUAUCGGCUAACUCCGUGCCAGCAGCCGCGGUAAUACGGAGGAUGCAAGCGUUAUCCGGAAUCAUUGGGCGUAAAGCGUCCGCAGGUGGUUUCCAAAGUCUGCUGUUAAAGACUGGAGCUCAACUCCGGAACGGCGGUGGAAACUUGGAAACUAGAGUUCGGUAGGGGUAGCAGGAAUUCCCAGUGUAGCGGUGAAAUGCGUAGAUAUUGGGAAGAACAUCGGUGGCGAAGGCGUGCUACUGGACCGUAACUGACACUCAGGGACGAAAGCUAGGGGAGCGAAAGGGAUUAGAUACCCCUGUAGUCCUAGCUGUAAACGAUGGAAACUAGGUGUGGCUUGUAUCGACCCGAGCCGUGCCGUA
RNAcentral lists this ribosomal RNA (798 nucleotides) under uncultured marine microorganism. RNAcentral describes it as "bacterial SSU rRNA". It matches the Rfam family "Bacterial small subunit ribosomal RNA", at positions 8 to 850 of the family's 1533-position model. The record is from RNAcentral.